Molecule: non-coding RNA, 73 nt
Organism: Stegodyphus mimosarum
Lineage: Eukaryota; Metazoa; Arthropoda; Arachnida; Araneae; Eresidae
Source: Rfam
GCCUUCGUGGUGAAAUGGUCAGCAUACUCGGCGGGUAUUCGAGAGGUCCAAGGUUCGAGUCCCGGGGAGGGCA